This 172-nucleotide ribosomal RNA is filed under the name uncultured Bacillota bacterium. Its description in RNAcentral is "uncultured Firmicutes bacterium partial 16S ribosomal RNA". It matches the Rfam family "Bacterial small subunit ribosomal RNA", at positions 335 to 524 of the family's 1533-position model. Lineage: Bacteria; Bacillati; Bacillota. The record is from RNAcentral.
ACUCCUACGGGAGGCAGCAGUAGGGAAUAUUCCGCAAUGGGCGAAAGCCUGACGGAGCGACGCCGCGUGCAGGAGGAAGGCCUUCGGGUUGUAAACUGCUUUUACGAGUGACGACUUCGACAGUAGCUCGUGAAUAAGGGUCUGCUAACUACGUGCCAGCAGCCGCGGUAAU